Molecule: ribosomal RNA, 434 nt
Filed under: uncultured bacterium
Lineage: Bacteria
Description: partial 16S ribosomal RNA
Rfam family: Bacterial small subunit ribosomal RNA
Source: RNAcentral
AACGAACGCUGGCGGCAUGCCUAACACAUGCAAGUCGAACGAUUGCCUUCGGGUGAUAGUGGCGCACGGGUGCGUAACGCGUGGGAAUCUGCCCUUAGGUUCGGAAUAACAGCUGGAAACGGCUGCUAAUACCGGAUGAUAUCGCGAGAUCAAAGAUUUAUCGCCUGAGGAUGAGCCCGCGUUGGAUUAGGUAGUUGGUGGGGUAAAGGCCUACCAAGCCGACGAUCCAUAGCUGGUCUGAGAGGAUGAUCAGCCACACUGGGACUGAGACACGGCCCAGACUCCUACGGGAGGCAGCAGUGGGGAAUAUUGGACAAUGGGCGCAAGCCUGAUCCAGCAAUGCCGCGUGAGUGAUGAAGGCCCUAGGGUUGUAAAGCUCUUUUACCCGGGAAGAUAAUGACUGGACCGGGAGAAUAAGCCCCGGCUAACUCCGU